AUUGAAUGCUGGCGGCAUGCUUUACACAUGCAAGUCGAACGGCAGCGCGGGCUUCGGCCUGGCGGCGAGUGGCGAACGGGUGAGUAAUGCAUCGGAACGUGCCCAGUAGUGGGGGAUAGCCCGGCGAAAGCCGGAUUAAUACCGCAUACGACCUGAGGGUGAAAGCGGGGGACCGAAAGGCCUCGCGCUAUUGGAGCGGCCGAUGUCGGAUUAGCUAGUUGGUGGGGUAAAGGCUUACCAAGGCGACGAUCCGUAGCUGGUCUGAGAGGACGACCAGCCACACUGGGACUGAGACACGGCCCAGACUCCUACGGGAGGCAGCAGUGGGGAAUUUUGGACAAUGGGGGCAACCCUGAUCCAGCCAUGCCGCGUGCGGGAAGAAGGCCUUCGGGUUGUAAACCGCUUUUGUUCGGGAAGAAAUCCUCUGGGCUAAUACCCCGGGGGGAUGACGGUACCGGAAGAAUAAGCACCGGCUAACUACGUG
Molecule: ribosomal RNA, 484 nt
Filed under: uncultured bacterium
Lineage: Bacteria
Description: partial 16S ribosomal RNA
Rfam family: Bacterial small subunit ribosomal RNA
Source: RNAcentral